AUUGAACGCUGGCGGAAUGCUUUACACAUGCAAGUCGAACGGUAGAGGGGGCAACCCCUCGAGAGUGGCGAACGGGUGAGUAAUAUAUCGGAACGUGCCCAGUCGUGGGGGAUAACGUAGCGAAAGUUACGCUAAUACCGCAUACGAUCUAAGGAUGAAAGCGGGGGAUCGCAAGACCUCGCGCGAUUGGAGCGCCGAUAUCAGAUUAGGUAGUUGGUGGGGUAAAGGCUCACCAAGCCAACGAUCUGUAGCUGGUCUGAGAGGACGACCAGCCAGACUGGAACUGAGACACGGUCCAGACUCCUACGGGAGGCAGCAGUGGGGAAUUUUGGACAAUGGACGCAAGUCUGAUCCAGCCAUUCCGCGUGCAGGAUGAAGGCCCUCGGGUUGUAAACUGCUUUUGUACGGAACGAAAAGGUCUCUCUUAAUACGGGGGGCUCAUGACGGUACCGUAAGAAUAAGCACCGGCUAACUACGUGCCAGCAGCCGCAGUAA
RNAcentral lists this ribosomal RNA (495 nucleotides) under uncultured bacterium. RNAcentral describes it as "partial 16S ribosomal RNA". It matches the Rfam family "Bacterial small subunit ribosomal RNA", at positions 30 to 523 of the family's 1533-position model. The record is from RNAcentral.